GGAAUAUUGCACAAUGGGCGAAAGCCUGAUGCAGCAACGCCGCGUGCGGGAAGACGGCCUUAGGGUUGUAAACCGCUUUCAGCAGGGAAGACACUGACGGUACCUGCAGAAGAAGGUGCGGCCAACUCCGUGCCAGCAGCCGCGGUGACACGUAGGCACCAAGCGUUGUCCGGAUUGAUUGGGCGUAAAGAGCUCGUAGGCGGUUCAGUACGUCGGGUGUGAAAACUCUGGGCUCAACCCAGAGACGCCACCCGAUACUGCUGUGACUUGAGUACGGUAGGGGAGCGGGGAAUUCCUGGUGUAGCGGUGAAAUGCGCAGAUAUCAGGAGGAACACCAGUGGCGAAGGCGCCGCUCUGGGCCGAAACUGACGCUGAGGCGCGAAAGCGUGGGGAGCAAAC
This 399-nucleotide ribosomal RNA is filed under the name uncultured bacterium. Its description in RNAcentral is "bacterial SSU rRNA". It matches the Rfam family "Bacterial small subunit ribosomal RNA", at positions 358 to 773 of the family's 1533-position model. The record is from RNAcentral.